GGAGAUAUAGCUCAGUGGUAGGGUAUACGCCUAGCAUGCACGAGGUCCUGGGUUCAAACCCCAGUACCUCCA
This is a transfer RNA of Camelus ferus (Wild Bactrian camel), 72 nucleotides long. It matches the Rfam family "tRNA". From Rfam's summary of the family: Transfer RNA (tRNA) molecules are approximately 80 nucleotides in length. NCBI's taxonomy places the organism in Eukaryota, Metazoa, Chordata, Mammalia, Artiodactyla, Camelidae. The record is from Rfam.